AAUCUAUGGAUUCACAGAAAUAGAAUUUGAACAAAGAUAAAAUUUUACAUUCUAUUCAUAUUUAAAAGAACUAAAUGUUGAACUAGAACUUAUGACCUUUUGCUGAUUGCUGAAAAGUAAAUUUACAACAAAAAUUGAUGAAAAUAACAUAAAAAUGAAUGAUUGCACCUCUUCAAGUUCUACAGAAUUAUUAAAUGAAGGAAUCUGCUUCAGAAUUGCUGACUGCAUGUCGCUGCAACAUCUGUGCUACAAAGUUUGACUGUUUAAAAUAUUGAAAAGUUUGGAUUAGGGGACUAUUUGAAGCGUCGGCAGUGCAGUUGGCGCUUGACCGGAUCAUAUUUUACAUAUCCAGGUACGAUCUCCGCUAUAUAGUAAUGAGUUCUUCGAAUUUCAUGAUAACAUCCAUCAGACAUUCUUACUGUAAUUACAAAUUGCAUACAACUGCAUAGAAAUUCAAAGAUAUGUGCGAAGUCAACCAACCCUCACUGGCUCUGCAUUGUUGAAUAAGACCUAGUCGCAUUCUUGAGGGUAGGCUCCGAGCUCCUCAGUGGAGUAUAGUGUGUCCGUAUAGUGAGCUUGAUGAUGACAAUUUGUUUUGCUUCAAUGCAUAUUGUCUUGUUAGCAAUUUUCUAAAUAUUUUACCAACAGAGAGGAGCUAAUCUCUUUCCAGUGUUAUUCUAUUUCUCAAGACAAGAGUGGCACUACUACUCCAGUUCUAUCAGAAAAUAUGAUCUAUCAAAUAAACAAACUGGAA
Papilio xuthus (Asian swallowtail) is the source of this 754-nucleotide long non-coding RNA. RefSeq lists it as uncharacterized. The record is from RefSeq and is a predicted model, not a curated record. Lineage: Eukaryota; Metazoa; Arthropoda; Insecta; Lepidoptera; Papilionidae. The transcript is spliced from 3 exons.